Molecule: unclassified non-coding RNA, 253 nt
Filed under: uncultured Pirellulaceae bacterium
Lineage: Bacteria; Pseudomonadati; Planctomycetota; Planctomycetia; Pirellulales; Pirellulaceae
Description: contains 16S-23S intergenic spacer region
Rfam family: Bacterial small subunit ribosomal RNA
Source: RNAcentral
UACAGAGACCUCAAACGUUAUUCGGAAUUACUGGGCUUAAAGGGUACGUAGGCGGCGCUGUUAGUCGGGUGUGAAAGCCCUCGGCUCAACCGAGGAAUUGCGCCCGAUACUGCAGUGCUCGAGGGAGACAGAGGUAAGCGGAACUGAUGGUGGAGCGGUGAAAUGCGUUGAUAUCAUCAGGAACACCAGUGGCGAAAGCGGCUUACUGGGUCUCUUCUGACGCUGAGGUACGAAAGCUAGGGGAGCGAAGGGG